RNAcentral lists this ribosomal RNA (253 nucleotides) under uncultured bacterium. RNAcentral describes it as "partial 16S ribosomal RNA". It matches the Rfam family "Bacterial small subunit ribosomal RNA", at positions 524 to 776 of the family's 1533-position model. The record is from RNAcentral.
UACGUAGGGGGCAAGCGUUGUCCGGAUUUAUUGGGCGUAAAGGGCUCGUAGGCGGUCUGUUGCGUCGGGAGUGAAAACUCAGGGCUUAACCCUGAGCCUGCUUCCGAUACGGGCAGACUAGAGGUAUGCAGGGGAGAACGGAAUUCCUGGUGUAGCGGUGAAAUGCGCAGAUAUCAGGAGGAACACCGGUGGCGAAGGCGGUUCUCUGGGCAUUACCUGACGCUGAGGAGCGAAAGUGUGGGGAGCGAACAGG